GGCUUAGAGUUUGAUCAUGGCUCAGGAUAAACGCUGGCGGCGCACAUAAGACAUGCAAGUCGAACGAACUUAAUCCUUAGAUUACUAUGGAAGCGGUUAGUGGCGGACUGGUGAGUAACACGUAAGCAACCUGCCUAUUAGAGGGGAACAACAGUUAGAAAUGACUGCUAAUACCGCAUAUGCCAUAAGUAUCGCAUGAUACAAGUGGGAAAGGAGAAAUCCGCUAAUAGAUGGGCUUGCGUCUGAUUAGUUAGUUGGUGGGGUAACGGCCUACCAAGACGACGAUCAGUAGCCGAACUGAGAGGUUGAACGGCCACAUUGGGACUGAGAUACGGCCCAGACUCCUACGGGAGGCAGCAGUCGGGAAUAUUGCGCAAUGGAGGAAACUCUGACGCAGUGACGCCGCGUGCAGGAAGAAGGUUUUCGGAAUGUAAACUGCUUUAGACAGGGAAGAAAAAGGACAGUACCUGUAGAAUAAGCUCCGGCUAACUACGUGCCAGCAGCCGCGGUAAUACGUAGGGAGCAAGCGUUAUCCGGAUUUAUUGGGUGUAAAGGGUGCGUAGACGGGAGAGCAAGUUAGUUGUGAAAUCCCUCGGCUUAACUGAGGAACUGCAACUAAAACUAUUCUUCUUGAGUGCUGGAGAGGAAAGUGGAAUUCCUAGUGUAGCGGUGAAAUGCGUAGAUAUUAGAGGAACACCAGUGGCGAAAGCGACUUUCUGGACAGUAACUGACGUUGAGGCACGAAAGUGUGGGGAGCAAACAGGAUUAGAUACCCUGGUAGUCCACACUGUAAACGAUGGACACUAGUGUAGAUGUGAUAAACGUUCUGUGCCGUCGCAACGCAGUAGUAUCCACUGGGAGUACGNNCAAG
This 871-nucleotide ribosomal RNA is filed under the name uncultured bacterium. Its description in RNAcentral is "bacterial SSU rRNA". It matches the Rfam family "Bacterial small subunit ribosomal RNA", at positions 9 to 873 of the family's 1533-position model. The record is from RNAcentral.